Molecule: long non-coding RNA, 877 nt
Organism: Plodia interpunctella (Indianmeal moth)
Lineage: Eukaryota; Metazoa; Arthropoda; Insecta; Lepidoptera; Pyralidae
Exons: 3
Source: RefSeq, a predicted model, not a curated record
UAAUGUUCAGUCGAACAAUCAUCAAAUAUUGGCGCGGUCAGAGUAGGUAUCGCACAGGGCUGCCGGAUCGGGUAGCACGAAAGCGGCAGGGAAGCCCCGUAGUGUGUCUUGUCGCCAGUGGGCGAGGCGGGUCGCUUCAUUCAAAGUUCCAUUCGCGCCGCUUGCUACUGGAGGCAAGGGUGCCCUGAAAGGGUCAGUCCAGAGGACUUAGAAUUUUUAAGAUAUUUUUCACAAUUGUUAUCAGUCUAGUUUUGGUUUGCAGUUAAGAUGAUAAUAAUUGUUAUGAUUAACCUCUGAUCAUAAUAUCCAUGAUGAUAGCAUCCCUGCAUCAUCGCAUCAUCAAAUGCUGUGUGUAUCAAUAACUUGCCAAUCCUUACUGAUAGCACCAUACAUUACCUACUAGUAUAUUGCUGAAUCAGGACUUGAAAACUUACAGAACUUGGACAAAUAUACAGAAUGAGGAAGUACCAAACUUAAAUACAAAUGGAGUAUACAACACUUUGAGUUCAUGUAAUGAAGGAAAAGGACUACUUCUUCGCUACAAAGAAAACGGAAUGAAUUCCUGAAAGUUAAUUCUUCUAAGUAUCUUCGCCAAGCCUCUCCCGGUGUGCACUGAAUUAUAUAAAAUGAAGAAAACAGACUAUGAUUGUUAUGUUAAAUUUUAAACUCAAGUAAUGUGUUUGACAUUAAUUUGGGCUAAGCAAUGUCUUAUUAAUAUUUGGUUAACUAUUCUUUAUUUUUAUUAGCCCUAUUAUGUUUUAUAAUAUAUUGGUGUUUGAUUACCAGUUAUUAUACAAUGGAGAUACUACAGCGUUUGUAACUUAAAUUUAAUAAUCUGGAUUUUCUUGAGUGAAUGACAAGACAUUAAAUUGUGUUA